Molecule: ribosomal RNA, 403 nt
Filed under: uncultured bacterium
Lineage: Bacteria
Description: partial 16S ribosomal RNA
Rfam family: Bacterial small subunit ribosomal RNA
Source: RNAcentral
GACGAACGCUGGCGGCGUGCCUAAUACAUGCAAGUCGAACGCAGUGGGUACGGGUGAGUUACACGUGGGUAACCUGCCAUCAGAGGGGAUAACACUUGGAAAUAGGUGCUAAACUGAUACCUGUGGAUGGUUCGGCGGUGCAUUAGCUAGUGGGUGAGGUAACGGCGCACCAAGGCCACGACGCAUAGCCGACCGGAGAGGGGGAUCGGCCACACUGGGACUGAGACACGGCCCAGACUCCUACGGGAGGCAGCAGUAGGGAAUCUUCGGCAAUGGACGGAAGUCUGACCGAGCAACGCCGCGUGAGUGAAGAAGGUUUUCGGAUCGUAAAGCUCUGUUGUUAGAGAAGCGGUAACUAACCAGAAAGGGACGGCUAACUACGUGCCAGCAGCCGCGGUAAUAC